This 431-nucleotide ribosomal RNA is filed under the name uncultured bacterium. Its description in RNAcentral is "partial 16S ribosomal RNA". It matches the Rfam family "Bacterial small subunit ribosomal RNA", at positions 29 to 507 of the family's 1533-position model. The record is from RNAcentral.
AACGAACGCUGGCGGCAGGCUUAACACAUGCAAGUCGAACGCCCCGCAAGGGGAGUGGCGCACGGGUGAGUAACGCGUGGAUAUCUGCCUUUUGGUUCGGAAUAACCCCGGGAAACUGGGGCUAAUACCGGAUGGUUCCUACGGGAUAAAGAUUUAUCGCCAAAGGAUGAGUCCGCGUACGAUUAGCUAGUUGGUGAGGUAAUGGCUCACCAAGGCGACGAUCGUUAGCUGGUCUGAGAGGACGAGCAGCCACACUGGGACUGAGACACGGCCCAGACUCCUACGGGAGGCAGCAGUGGGGAAUAUUGAACAAUGGGGGCAACCCUGAUCCAGCCAUGCCGCGUGAGUGAUGAAGGCCUUCGGGUUGUAAAGCUCUUUUGGCGGGGACGAUGAUGACGGUACCCGCAGAAUAAGCCCCGGCUAACUUCGUG